GUUUUGGCAAGACAUUUACUAGAAUUGGAACAAUACAGAGAAAAUUAGCAUGGCCCCUUGUACAGGGAUAACAUGCCAGUUUUCAUAUAAGAAGGGAAUCUUU
Laticauda laticaudata (blue-ringed sea krait) is the source of this 103-nucleotide small nuclear RNA. The record is from Ensembl. NCBI's taxonomy places the organism in Eukaryota, Metazoa, Chordata, Lepidosauria, Squamata, Elapidae.